This 500-nucleotide ribosomal RNA is filed under the name uncultured Glomeromycotina. RNAcentral's name for it is "partial small subunit ribosomal RNA". It matches the Rfam family "Eukaryotic small subunit ribosomal RNA", at positions 591 to 1092 of the family's 1831-position model. The record is from RNAcentral. Lineage: Eukaryota; Fungi; Glomeromycota.
CCAAUAGCGUAUAUUAAAGUUGUUGCAGUUAAAAAGCUCGUAGUUGAAUUUCGGGGUCAAUAAGUUGGUCGUGCCAAUGGUAUGCACUGGCUUUAUUGAUUCCUACCUCUUGACGAACUGUGAUGCCAUUAAUUUGGUGUUGCAAGGAAUCAGGACUGUUACCUUGAAAAAAUUAGAGUGUUUAAAGCAGGCUUACGCCUGAAUACAUUAGCAUGGAAUAAUUAAAUAGGACGUUUGAACCUAUUUUGUUGGUUUCUAGGAUCGACGUAAUGAUUAAUAGGUAUAGUUGGGGGCAUUAGUAUUCAAUUGUCAGAGGUGAAAUUCUUGGAUUUAUUGAAGACUAACUACUGCGAAAGCAUUUGCCAAGGAUGUUUUCAUUAAUCAAGAACGAAAGUUAGGGGAUCGAAGACGGUCAGAUAACGUCGUAGUCUUAACCAUAAACUAUGCCGACUAGGGAUCGGAUGAUGUUAAUUUUUUAAUGACUCAUUCGGCGCCUUACG